Molecule: long non-coding RNA, 37164 nt
Filed under: Capsicum annuum
Lineage: Eukaryota; Viridiplantae; Streptophyta; Magnoliopsida; Solanales; Solanaceae
Description: long non-coding RNA (CANN_LNC014507)
Source: RNAcentral
CAUCCAAAAAGAAAUUGCAAAGAAUAAAUACUAAGGUUAAAUGGGUUUGGAGAAUACGUGACAUAAUAAAAGUAAAUGACAAUUGAAUACAGGGAUCAAUUUGUACCUAGUUUGAUUUCAUAUUUGAAGUGCAUGAUUUGGUAGCUUUCCAGCAGAGCACUAUAACAAGCAAAUAGGAUUAGAUCACACCUAUAUAUCCAAAAAAGAAGAACAAUAAAAAAGUCUCAUAUUUCUCUUAGAUACUUGCUAAUUUGUGGGUGACACAAUUGAAAUAAGGGAUAAUGAAGGAGAAAAAUAUAAUGGCCUAAAAACUUAAUGAAAUAUGUGAAAUUUGAUUUUAUGUGAUUUUACUAUUUUACCCUUGCCCAAAGUUGUAUUGUGGUACUUUUGUGGUGUGAAAGUGAUUGGCACUUUUUUUGAUGCAUUUUGUUACAAUUUAUGCGAUAUUGUAGUUUUGGAUCGCCUUUAGAGCCUAAUUUUGGACUUUUGUGAUUAUCUUUUGAUCCGUGUGAUGUAUGGAUGAACAGACUGUGGCAUUAAAUUCAUAAAAUUAAUUUUAGGGUGGUAAUAUAUUUGGUGUGGUUUCAUGUCUUUUUAAUCUCAUUUUGAUCCUCAGUUUAAAAAUUAUAACUUUUAAUUUUGAGAAUCAACUUAUUGAAAAUAAUAUCUUUUCAAAGAUUCAACUUCGCUAACGCGUCCAUAAUAUCAAAUUUAUUGGAGUUGCAUAGUUCAUUUGCAUAAAUCAAACUCCGAACGGAUCCCGAGCACCCCGUCGAAGUCAGUUUUAGACUUAAAAAGCUGGUGCACCAGGUUAACUGGUACACAAAGGCUAAAUGCAUUCAAGGGGUGCAUUUUAUGCCUUUUUGUGCCUGGUAACCUGGUGCAAGUAUAAAAAGUCCCUUUUACUCGAUUUUGCCGAUUCUUUCACCUUGUCUCUUGAGAGUUGAACCCUAAAAUACUGUGAGAUCUUAAAAGUGAAGCUUGUGGGAUCUUGGAAAGCUACAUUAACAUUUAUUUCUUGAUUCUACUGUGGAUUUAAGGUGAGAUUUCAUCCUUUUCUACUCUAAUUCCUUGAUUAAUUUCUCAAAAUUUCAAAAAAAAAAAUUGGACUUGAUUUUAAACCCUAGUUUCACUCCCUUUUACUUGAAUAAUAUUUUAAUCCUAUAAUUAUUAAUUUUGUAUUAAUUUAACCUUCAAAACAACUUCGAUUCUUGAUUUUAACAUGGAUUUCAAAGAUUUUACUUGAUAAAGCGUAAAAUGAUUUUUUAUUUGAACCUAGUUUUUGACUUGAUUUGACUUGAGUUUUCAACUAUAGAUUCCUAAAAAUGUGAAGAACAUGUUUUUGUAAUAAAGUUUUGAUUUUUCCCUUCUUUUUCAAAAAUCUAUCCAUUUUGACUCCAAAUCAAAAGUAGGCAGUAUGAGUAUUAUUAGCUUUUUCUUUUAUGCAUAAAUUUUAUAUUUCUUUAUUUUAAUUAAUUUCGGGAUCGUUCGUGAGAAGUAGGGUUCUGUGGUUCAAUUGUUGCAAAUUGGUUCUAGCAUUCGAGGUGGUUAUAGCUUAACUCUUUUAGACUAGGUUGAGUAGUAAAUGUUGUUACAAAAUGCAUGUUAAGGGGAGGAACUAAUCAUGAAAAAUAGUUAUCUAUGUGUUGUGCCAGUGUAGGAGCCUAUAUGUGAUGUAAUUGUUGAAAUUAAGAUAUUAUAUGAUAUGUAUAACUGUGUGGGGUCCUAUAUGAUGUUGAUAGACUUGAAUACAUGUGAUUAAUUGUAUUGUAUGGUUUCAAAUGCCUUUUGUGGUACCUUUGGUGGAUUGUGAUAUAUAUAUAUAUAUAUAUAUAUAUAUAUAUAUAUAUAUAUUCAUACUUUUGACAUAUGAAACAUGUGAAAAUUCAUGGUUGAAUGGAAAUAAUAAGUGCAUAUUGGCUCAAGUGGAUUUGGAAAUAUAUCAUAUGGUUGGUUGUGAAAAUACUCAUUGUUGAUACCUAAUUUUUGCCCUCUAUGACUAAAUUUAAUCCUGAGUUUCUUCAAUUUUUAAUAAACCAAAAUAAUUAUUUCAUCCAAAUAAAAAAAACUUAAAAUAUUUUUCAUAUGUGAUUUUGUUAUUUUAAGUAGCGAUUAUAUACUAUCGUGUUCAGUUAUACGAGAUUAUAUAAUUUGUUACUUAAACAUUUAUUUUACAAAAUAUCGGAUUUAAUUAAGGCUUAUCUUGAAAAUAAAUUCAAAUGAUUAAAAUCUUAAUUUAAAUAUAAUUUAUUCUCAAAAAUAAUUUAUUUGGAUAAAUAUGCAUUCAUUUUAUUAAAUCAAGAAGCUCGGGAUAAAAAAAAAGGUAUUAAUUCGUAUCGAAUUUUAAUUUAAUUUAGCCAAUCUAUUANNNNNNNNNNNNNNNNNNNNNNNNNNNNNNNNNNNNNNNNNNNNNNNNNNNNNNNNNNNNNNNNNNNNNNNNNNNNNNNNNNNNNNNNNNNNNNNNNNNNNNNNNNNNNNNNNNNNNNNNNNNNNNNNNNNNNNNNNNNNNNNNNNNNNNNNNNNNNNNNNNNNNNNNNNNNNNNNNNNNNNNNNNNNNNNNNNNNNNNNNNNNNNNNNNNNNNNNNNNNNNNNNNNNNNNNNNNNNNNNNNNNNNNNNNNNNNNNNNNNNNNNNNNNNNNNNNNNNNNNNNNNNNNNNNNNNNNNNNNNNNNNNNNNNNNNNNNNNNNNNNNNNNNNNNNNNNNNNNNNNNNNNNNNNNNNNNNNNNNNNNNNNNNNNNNNNNNNNNNNNNNNNNNNNNNNNNNNNNNNNNNNNNNNNNNNNNNNNNNNNNNNNNNNNNNNNNNNNNNNNNNNNNNNNNNNNNNNNNNNNNNNNNNNNNNNNNNNNNNNNNNNNNNNNNNNNNNNNNGCUAAUCAAAAUUUUUGAGUUGCCGGUGACGUUUUUCGGUGGUGGUUGAUUCCAACGAAGCUCGUAGACUCGUUUUGCUGCCCCCUAAAAGGUAAACACACCUUCUUUUUUCUUUUUUUAUUAUUUUAGUUUUUAUUAUCGUUUUUCUCUUCAUCUUUUUUUUUCUUUAUAGUUCGUAGAUAUAAUUUUAUUUGUUGGAAUUGUAUGUUGUAGAUGGCCUUGAAGGCCCUUGGACGUUGUGGUGUCGCUAUUCUAAUUAUUUUCAUGUUCAUAAUAUAAAAAUGAGCUAGCAAUAGUUGUAUGUGUCUUUUUUUACUUUAUUCUUUGAUUACUUUGGAUAAAGUUUCAAUCUUUGCUUAAAAGAAGUAUUUAUGCUUUUUUUAAACUCAUUGUUGUUGGAUACAUUUGUUCUUAGUAUGUAAAGUUAUUUUGUUUAUGUUUAGAAGAAUAGUUAAUGUUGAAUAUUUUACCUUUUCACCUUAUUCUUUGAUUAUUUGAAUAAAGUUUAGAUAUUUACUAGAAAAAACGAUAUUCAUGUCUUGUUUAAACUUAUUGUUGGUAUAUAUAUUUGUUUUUAGCAUGUAAAGUUAUUUCCUUUAUGUUGAAAAGAAUAGAUAAUAUUGAUUGUUUCUCUUUUCUUACUUUAUUCUUUGAUUAUUUUGAAUAAAGUUUAGAUCUUUACUUGAAAAACAAUACUCAUGUCUUGUUUAAACUUAUUGUUGGUAGAUAUGUUUUUUUUUAGCAUGUAAAGUUGUUUAUUUUAUGUUGGAAGAAUAGUUAUUACUAUUUGUUGCGCCUUAAUAAAAAUAGUAAUUAGUUAAGUUAAGAAUUUGUCAUUUGCUUACUAAUUAUUUUAAUGGAUUUUAAAACUCUCAUAUAAGAUAUGAAGUGCUAGCUUUAUUUUUCAUCUAAGAUGUUUAUUCUUCUUUGUUCGCAUGUUGUCUUUUCAAAAUGCUAAGAAAGUUCAAAUUUUUGCCGCUAAAUAAAAUUAUUUGGAUAUUUUUGACUCAUGCAUAGUAUGACUGUGAAACUUUUGCUUUGCAUUUUUUAUUUGUUGACUCUCAUUCUUGUGCAAGUGUGCUUAUUCUUGUCAUUCAAAAAUUGGUUCUUGAUAGUUUCUUUUACUUUGAAAUAUGUCACUUUUAUGCCUUGAACAUAUAUUAAUUUCUUUGUCUUUUCUUUGCAUGCAAAAAAAGAUAUCUCGAGUCCAAAUGGACUCCUCUCCUCCUGUAUUUCGUAAUGGGUAAAUGAGGCUCACCCCUUCGAGUCAAGUUCGAAGUUUAAACCCAAGGUCCAUUACAUGGCGUACGGGUGCUAGAAGAUAGACAAAGAAGGAAAAUGGGUCAAAACCCAUUGAUGAGGUCACUAAAAGACUUGAAAAGUCUCAAUUUUUAUUAUUGUCUUCUUUUUAUUUAUUCAUUUAGUCAUUUAUUUAUUCAUUCAUUUCAACCUCGAACACAAAGUUGUAUUUAAUACAGGUGGAGCAAGACUCGAGCCAAAGGCUCAAAAAAUAGUUUAGGACAGGUGAAAUGGGUUGGAAGCCCAACUAGACUAGGACAGGUCUCGUUGAUUUGGGCCUAAUGGUCUAAAUCCUUUUUACUUUCUCCUCCCUUCCCUUUUUAUGUGUUUAUUUAUUUAUUAUUUUUGUUUAGACUUAGUUAAAAUCCCUACUAAGUUGCCUAAAUCUAUUUUACACAAGUCUUUUUUUGAAAAAAUCAAAUCUCUAUUUCAGCAAAUUAAUCUUUUUGAAGUUAAUCAAAAGACGAUUUUCAAACAGUCCGGAUAACCACAAGUUAGCGGACGUUUUAGGUGCCUAACACCUUCCUAAAACGUUAAUAGGAACCGCUUAUCUAGAAUCUCUAACUUAAAACGAUUUCCCUAUUUUGAAUCGUUUAAAAUGUUUUAUAAAGGUUUCUUAAUUCCUUUUCAAAAAUUAAGUGGCGACUCUCUUCAAAAAGUCAAAAUUUCUCCGCAAAACACUCAUUGUGAUUGAUUAUGAGAAUUACAUCCUCAUAUCAUACUCAUUCAUGAAACAAAUGGUACUACCAUGGCAAUACCUGAAAAAUAUUAGCAACACCUUUUUAUCACAGAAAAUGUGACAUCUUAUAAAACCCUCCCCGAGGGAUGUGCCAGGGAGGAGAUAUAUAUGGAUAUAUAGAGAGAGAGAGAGAUUGUAUAUGGGUUGACGAACCCCUUAUAGAUCCCACAGCAGGAGGCUUGCCUCCAUGGGUGUAUACGGGGAUUGUGCGACGAUCCCAGAGGUUGUGUGACGACCUCGUACAUUAUCAUCACUAUCAUCAUAUACAUUGCACUUGCCUUAUUGUGUUUACGUUGUUCUUUUGUUGUCAUGUUGACUUGUCAUCUAUCUAUUUGUUCUAUAUCUUGACUUGUUAAUGCCUAAUUCUUCUAUCUUCCUUUACUUGUACUUGAUGAUCUUGAUUAUACAUGUUCCUCUUUUGUUCAACUUUUAUGUGAUAUUGUGUAUAUUUGUAUCCCUAUCUAGUUUUUUGUAUUAUGUGUGGAUAUAAUAGAACUUUUAGUACAAGAGAUAUGGGCUACCAUUGUGGGAUAUUUUCUGAUUAUAGGUGACAUGCCCUUAGUGUAUAUUUUUUAUACUUCAUUUACUACUUUGCUUGGUCAGUCUAUGAUACCUGCUGAGUACAAUUGGACCGUAUUCACACCUACUGUGCCUUUUCGAUGUAGGUCCUAUCUCGAGUGCACCUCGGCUUACUUGACUCGGGUGAUUGUUGAAGCUUCCAAGGUAGUGGUUGGAAAUUCAUGAGUUCAAAGUUCACCUCUAUCUCUCUAUAGUAGUUAUGUCUUUAUUAGUAUUUAGAGACAGAUGUUGAUCUUAUGUGGAUAUUUCUAAUGUACUUGACUCAUGGUUUGUAUUAGUAGUUCUUACACUAUUGACACUUGGUUUUGGGAAUAUAUGGUAUUUAGAUAUGUUCUUUCCACAUUGUUAUAAUUACUUGUAUGGUUCAGUUUCAUUCUAGAAGCCUUGCCUUGGGAUAUUUCUAUCUUUUCCUCUUUUUGUAUCAAUUUGGGUGAUAGGUUUACCUGUCAAGGUAGGCCGCGACAAAUGCCAUCAUGGCCCUCGUUUUUGAGUUGUGACAAAAAGACAAGUGAUAGGAUCAUGAAUGUAAAGGAUAAAUUUUCUUUUUAUGUCUCCUAUGGAUGAAUAUCUAAAUUAUUUCAGUUGGUAAGAUAACCACAACAUGCCUCAAUUAAACAAUAUGGAAAAACGUAUACAUGAAAAGUAGAAAGCUGAUUGAAUUUUCUAUCAAGUCUAGAUAUUAAAGGUAGAAUCAGAUGGAACAAACUAAUUAUUCUGAGCGUCAGGUGGAUUCAAAAGGGAACAACACUCUAAUAAAAUUGGCUAUAUUAAUGCCUACAAAUAAAAAAAUAGAUGUUUCGCCAUGAAAAAUUGAUAUGAAAGAUCAAAAUACUACCCAUAGUUGCUUGCUUUAACUGAUAGCCCAUCUAGAAAAGCAUUUGACAUAUGACGGCCUAAAUAGAAUAGAAUUUUAAUACCAUAUUGCUACGUAUCAACAAGAUGUAGAUGAUAUUUGACAUCAUCUACUCCAUUGAGAAGUAUAGAUAUGCUUUGAUGGAGUUCUAAAUCCUAAUCAUUCAUUGAAAGUUAAAUGUUUGAAUAACAUUUUGUUUGGGUGCAAUCGACACAAUGUAAAUCUAAGUUAAUCUAACUCUUCACUUUUGGUUCCGCACUCGUGUUGACACAAUAUAGUUAUGGGUGUGGGUGUGGGAUUCGUACCCGAUCUAGUCAAUUGAUUUUUGAUACUUUGACCAAAAUCGACUGAAAAAGUUCAAACAAAUUUAAUAAUUUCUAUAAUCAAAACAAAAGUUAAGGUAAACUUGAAGAAAAUAGAAUAACUUGUACAUAGAAAUUCCUACGUUACUGCUUUCCUUUUAUCUUCUUUGAGGAUUCUCCUCUUGAUCAAUAUUUUCUCAUCAACUUUUUCAUAUAUUAUCUUAUAAUUUAGGUUUUAUAACUAUAUAUUCAAAUAUUUGAAUUAGUUUUAGCUGAUUUCCCGCACCAGUAUUCAUACCUGGAUUCAUAUUCCUGAAUCUUAAAAUUGAGAUCAUAAAGAAACCGACCUCUAGAUCCACACCCCUAUCAGACACCCACACCCGAAUUCGAGCUAUUUAGAUGUAAAUAAAUUUUUUUCCAUUCAAUCCAACACCAAAGGCUCUCACCUCUUGUGGUGAUUAGGCAUUUAACAUAGACCCUUUCUUGUUUAUUUAUAAGUGAAAACAUUACAAGGAGAGGAUAAGAUACAAAAAAAUCCCGAGCAAAUAUCAAGAAAAAUCAUAUUUUUAUAUCGACAAUGCAUAUUAUGCAAAAUCCAGAUAAAAUUUGCUCCACAAAUCUGCUAAAUGUGCUAAGCAUCCUAAAGCAAAGUACUCACUAUAUAACAUUUAAAUAGACAAAAAGAUUUACAAGGCAGCAGAAAACAAAACAACAACCUUGGCAAGAACAGGCAACAACCUAUACUAAUGGACCACGUAAUUUCAAAGUGAUAUUUGAUGGAUUCAUUUGACAAGAAUAUUGACAACAUUAUUAACUUAACCAUGUUGAAGAAUGAUUUGUUUAGUCUCUGUAGUAACAAUAUUAAUAAUUUAGAACAAUUUAAUAAUUUUUUCAGCCCCAUAACCUGAUCUAAGAACUCAAUGAAUAUGUACAUAGCUGCAAUCUUCUGCGUACUUAUAAAUGAAAUGCUUAUUUUAUGAAAGAAGGACAAUGUAUGCAAAGUAAUAGCAUCUUAAAAAAGUGUGGUAACGCACAUUUUAUAACAUAGAAUUUUCUUAUUAGAGAAAAGAAUCUUAAAAGUUGUUUAGAAAUUUUCAAUGUACAGAAUCGCUUUUUUAUAAAGAAUAUGUAAAAAAAAUCUAAAUAUCCUACCUGAAAAAAGUAACCAAUUAUGGACGAUGCAAUUUUAUUAAAUUUAAAUUCGUACAAAAUUCAGAUUAUAUUAAAUUCAAAGAAUAUUAGUCCCAAAUAGAUAUUGUGGAUUAAUAUAAUUGAAUUAAUUAUUUAAGUCCAAAUAGGUAUGGAUUUAAAUAAGGCCCAAUAUUUAUUGGGUUAGUCCAUUAAUUUGGGCUACAAGUGAUGAGCCCACUUUACUAAGCCCAAGAUAUUGUCAUAUUCUAUAGGCCCAAAUAAGCACCACAUGUCAAAUAACGUGGCAUGCCAAGUCAAGUGAAGGAGCCAAUAGGACCGUGCCACAUUUCAAACUGAUGCAGUAGGCCCAUGAAACAAAAGCCCAUAAAAGGCACCACAUCACUUAAAUCUGAUUGGUCAAAGGAAGUCUGUAUUCAUCAUGACUCUUCCUUUCCUACAACUAUGAAUAAGGGCCUCAUAAUUUAGAAAAAGAACCCCCAGAACUCUAACAAUUAGCAAUAUAAAACUCGUGGAUCAAACGCCACAAUUUCUCUAAAAAACUCAAGCAUUCAAAUCAAGUUCAUCAAGAUUCAAGAUCAAGACCGCAAUAUUCAAGAACAAGCUCAAAAGCCCUUGAAUUCAAGCACAAGUCAAGAUCAAGUCCCUCAAAGAAUUCAAAUCAAGUUCAAAUUCAAGAUCAAGCUUUAAGCCCUUGAAUUUAUAUUUGAAAAGGCGAAUUAGAGGAUUCAUAGAGAUUGUAACACUCAUAUAUUGAAAUCAAUAAAUUGAUUGUUGCAGUAUAUUUUCUUGUCUCGAUUAUUUAUUUUCAGCCUCAAAAUUUUACUGUCGAAAAAAUUCUGACACGUCCAGUGGGACAAUCUCUACCUCUCAUCUUAACUUUUCAGACUUUAAAGAUUAAGAACUCUGAAAUGACUUCCAAGAAGUUUAACUCUUAAUCAACUUCUUCCAAGGCUGCUGAUUCAAGGUUCUCUGCCGAAGUGAAAAGCAUCCUUGGUAUUACUUUUGGAAGUUUAGUAGCUGUCACGAGGAGCAAGGCAGGCUUUCUAGGACAACAAAUACAUCUAGUGUUAUCCAUGCCAACUCCAGUUUUUGGAUCUUCAACCCCAAAAAAUCGAAGUCCAAUACAAGUGCUUCGGAAGGAGGAAGCAGUGUCAUGGAAUCACUUAAGAAGACUCUUUCUCUACUUGAGCAUUCUGGUUCCAAAUACUCUGGUGUAAAGAACGAUGGUCAUUCAAUAAACGUGUCAUCUCUACUUACACAGCAUAAGUUAAGCACUUUGAAGAUGAACCAAUGCGAUAAUCCAUGUUACUCUACGACAUCUCCUGUGAUCAUGCAAGCAAAGGUAACUGAUGCCUCAUAUAUAGAGGAGCAGCUUUCGAAUCUGGCAAAGGCAAUUGAAGGCCUGACCAACUAUAUUCAGAAUCAAGAGGCUAGGAUUGAUAAGGUAGUGGAUAAGGUGAAAGGCUUGAUAGAAUAACAAUCUAGACAUGCACUGGGAAAAGCUCUAGAGGUUUAUGAGAUAGAAAAUCCUGUGAAACAAACACCACCGACUAAAGAGGUGUAAGUUUCUGCUGAAGAAAUGAUCCCGAUUGGGCAAUUGAGGGAAUUCAUUGAAGGAACCCUCAAAGACAAGUAUGAUGUUGUCACCAAGUAUUCCCUUAUGUAUGCCAAGCCCUACACUGCAAGAAUAGAUAGCCUCAAAAUGCUUGUCGGCUAUCAACCCCCCAAAUUUCAAUAAGUUGAGGGCAAAGGUAAUCCGAAACAACAUGCCGCACACUUUGUUGAGACGUAAUAAUGCUGGAACUUACAAUGAAUAUCUUUUCUUCUGAAGAGUUAGCUACUCAUGAUCACUACAUGGAGUUGAGUAUGUCUUCUGCUGGAAAGGAAGGAGCACCUAUUCAUGACCCUCGAAAGGGAAAGAAAAAGUAGGAACCCAAAAGGUGGGGCAAGUUUGUUUCCAAAAAUGAAAACAAGGAGUCCAUGAAUGUUGAUGUGUCUCCUAUGAAGGUCACCACAAAGGUGAUCAAGAAGUAAAGGGUGAAGAAGACUUCUGGAGCACGUCCGAAUAAGAAAACUUUAAAGGAGAUGCAAGAAAAGGAAUAUCCCAUCCUUAAUUUUGAUAUUGCUGAGAUUUUCGAUGAACUACUUGAGCAUAAACUCAUUAAAAUUCAAGAGAUGAAGCAUCCCAAUGAAGCUGGAAGGACCAAUGACCCUAAUUAUUGCAAAUAUCAUAGGCUCGUAAGUCAUCCUCUGGAAAAGUGCUUUGUCUUUAAAGAUAAAGUCAUGCAACUGGCAAAAAAGAAGAAGAUCUUCUUCGACGAUGAGACGGCCAGUUCUCAUCAAAUCACUAUUACUUUUGGCUCACUUGACCCAGUCCAAAUAUGUAUCAAAGAGCAUAAUAAGAAAAUAUUAGAGCCUGACAGGUCUUUAGUUGACGAAGUCAAUGAUGAAGGUAGGACUCUGGUGAUGAGGCGUAGACGUAGUAGGAUGAGUCUGUGAAAAGAGUCGUCCAAACAGCCAACCAUAAGGAGAAUGGUAAAGAAACCAAGAAAAGAUAAGUUGGAUGGAUUCCCAAAGAAGACAAGGGUGACAGAGCUUCACCACCAAAAACCUCGGUGUCCGAUGACUUUAGAGGAAUUCUUACCGAGUUGGUUUCGUGUAAAGACUACCCACGUCAACCUUGAGGCAUCUUGUUUUAAUACCGCCAAAGAGGGGGAAAAGGGUGAGAAUCUACUUAUGGAGGUUCCUUCACCUUCCGAAAAGCUUGCUGAAACUUUUGGCGAAGAGGCAUAUGUGUGUGAUACAAAAAUCACAUUCACAAAUAACGAUCUUCUACUAGGUGAGGCCCUACAUAAUCGUCCCUUAUACAUGGUGGGUUAAAUUUUAUAAAAGAAGAUCAAUAAAAUCUUGAUAGAUGAGGGGUCUGGAGUCAACAUCCUGCCUAUCUGCACGAUGAAAGAACUUAGCAUCGCUACUAGCAAACUGGGUAAAAGUCGUAUAAUGAUCCAAGGCUUCUAUCAAGGGGGCCAUAAGGCCAUAGGAUUUACCAAGUUGGGGAUUUAUAUGGAUGAUUUUCAAUCAAAUGCAUUGAUGCAUAUAAUUGAUGCCAAAACUUCAUAAAACAUAUUGCUUGGUAGGCCUUGGGUACGCGGGAACAAAAUUAUCUCAUCCUCUUACUAUCAAUACUUGAAUUACCUUGGAGGUAGAGUGGAGAAAAAGAUAGUAGCUGAUGAUAAGCCAUUCAUUGAAGUUGAAUCACACUUUGCUGAUGCAAAAUUCUACUUGAUGAAUUAUGUCGUGAAUGAGAAAAGGGUUAAAGAUGUCACUAAGACCAAGUGUAAUGAUCUUGAAUCUAAGAAGGCCACGGUGACUAUUGCAAAAGUCACCACCAGGAAGCCCCUCUUCACUUUGAAUAAAAAAAGCAUCGCUCCUACAAAAAACAAGGCAACUCCUAUUCUUUGCUACGUGCCAAAGGUAAAAAAAGAAAGAAAAAUCACUCACAUGAUGCCCAAGAUAAUAUGCUAAAGGGGAUAACUUUACCUAUCAGGAAGAUUGACGCAAUAAAUCUAUCCUCAAGGCCCCUUGGGGAAUCUGUGGCUUAAAAUUCGUCACAAGAUAUGACACUCCCUAUGAAGCGUAUGAAAGAGGGCUUUGAUCCAAAUGCAUACAAGCUAUUUUUAAAGGAUGGAUACAAUUCUAAUGAGCCAUCAAGGUUGGGCAUACUUCCCUCGGAAGGUACAAACAGGCAGGCACAUGAAGGCCUAGAAUACAUAGUCACCUCCAAUUCGAAUCUCCAUAAAAAGGGCAGUCAGUAAUUACAUCACCGUGGAAGAAGAAUCUACUGUUGCUAAAAGACCCUCUGUCUUUGAUCGACUUGAAGAACCAACUGCAAGAACUUCUAUUUUUGAAAGAUUGGGACCUCUAAAUAAAAAUAAAAGUAACAAGUGUCAAAUAAGUCAUCAAAGUAUAAUGAUGCACUCUUUAUUUAAAAUUCAGAAGGAUUUCCAAAGUUUAAUCCCUUCCAGAAUGAGGCGACAGACAGAACUGGUGGUUUCAUGCAAUAAGGUGUUAAAAGUUAAAACUCAUACUGUGGUGUAUACCAAGGAAUGUGAGAAAGAUGCAUAAAGUGUUGGCUCCUCAUAUCAUGUUACGAUUUAAAAUGAGAAUGAGGCCUCAUCUCAAAUAAAGGUUGAUGAAGAGAUAGAAGACAUUUUCUGGUGUCACCAUAUAUCCAUCAAUAACGAUGAUCCUCCAGAGGGGGAAGAUGUUGGAGAUGCUCCAUCUCAACUUGAAUAAGGAGUAAAUGCCACAAUAGAUCCCCUGAAGGAAGUUAAUCUUGGAACUAAUGAAGACCCAAGACCAACUUACCUGAGUGCGUUUGUAGAAGUAGAGGAGGAAGUCACCUAUAUGGACAUGCUCAAAGAAUAUAUGGAUGUCUUUUCUUGGAGAUAUAAGGAAAUGUCUGGCUUAGAUCCGAAAGUAGCAGUCCAUCAGUUGGCAGUCAAGAAUGGUGCCCGUCCUGUUAAGCAAGCCCAAAGGCGCUUUCAGCCAGAGUUGGUUCUAUUAAUUAAAAAUGAAGUUAACAAACUCAUUGAAGCUGGCUUUAUUCGCGAAGUCAAAUAUCUCACGUGGAUUUCAAGUAUUGUUUCAGUACGAAAGAAGAAUAGCCAAAUUUAAGUUUGUGUUGAAUUUUGGGAUCUCAACAACGCAUGCCCUAAGGAUGACUUUCCAAUCCCUAUACCAGAGUUGAUGAUUGAUGCCACCAUUGGUUAUGAGGCAAUGUCCUUCAUGGAUGGUUCAUCCGGCUACAAUCAAAUCUUCAUGUCACUAAAGGAUGAAGAACUCACUGCAUUUCGUACGCCCAAAGGUAUUUAUUGCUACAAAGUGAUGCCUUUUGGUUUGAAGAAUGCUGGUGCCACUUAUCAAAGGGAUAUGCAGAACAUCUUUGAUGGCCUGCUCUAUAAAAAUAUUGAAUACUACGUGGAUAAUCUAGUGGUAAAGUCAAGAAAGAGAUACGACCACUUAAAAGACCUAAGAAUGGUAUUCGAGUUACUUCAAAGAUAUCAACUUAGGAUGAAUUCAUUGAAGUGUGCCUUUGGAGUUACUUUCAUAAAGUUUCUUGGCUUCAUUGUACGACACCUAGGAAUUAAAAUUAAUCAAGACAAGGUCGAUACAAUUUUGAAGAUGCCCAAGCCUCGAAAUAUUCAUUAGUUAAAAAGCCUUCAGGGAAGGCUAGCAUAUUUAAGGAGGUUCAUCACAAAUCUGGCCGAAAAAUGUCAACCAUUUAGUCGUCUCAUGAAAAAAGACACUCCCUUCGAAUGGGAACAAGCUUGUAGUAAUGCCUUUAAGAGUAUCAAAUCAUACUUAAUAAAGCCACCAGUUCUUGCGGCACCCAUACCUGGGAAACCAUCGAUACUCUACAUCGCAGCAUAAAAGAGGUUAGUUGGAGCACUACUGGCUCAAGAAAAUAGUGAAGGCAAAGAAAACUUUCUUUACUAUUCGAGCAGAAUAAUGACGCCAAAUGAGCUAAAGUAUUCUCCAAUUGAAAAGUUAUGUUUGUCAUUGGCCUUCUCAAUUAAAAAGAUGAAACACUAAUUUCAAGCUUAUGUUGUCUGGUUUGUGUCUAGGGCAAAUACCAUCAAGUUUGUAAUGUUGAAACCAGUCCUUACUGAUUGACUUGCAAGAUGGUACCUUCAAUUUCAGCAGUUUGAGAUUGUGUACAUUCCCUAAAAGAUUGUAAAAGGACAAGCACUGGCUGACUUCUUAGCAGACCACCCGAUACCUGAUGAUUAGGAACUGAGUGAUGAACUUCCUGAUAAAGAUGCAUAGGUCAUUGAAGCUAGACCCCCAUGGAAGAUGUAUUUUAAUAGUGUCUUACAUCGAGACAGAGUUGGUGCCGGUGUGGUGUUCGUCACUCCACAAAAAGAGGCCAUCCCAUACUCUUUUACCAUAAAAAACCGUUGCUCUAAUAAUAUUACUGAAUAUCAAGCUUUAAUACUUGGACUUGAGAUGGCAGUUGACAUGAAACAACUGCAAUUACAAGUCUUUGGUGACUCCCAAUUAGUAAUCAAGCCACUUUUGGGAAGCUAUGAAGUCAAAAAGCCUGAGCUACGGCCAUAUCAUGAUUAUGCAUAGAAGUUGAUGGGGUGGCUUAGAGGAGUAACCCUCCAACAUGUGACAAAGGGAGAAAAUAAGCAAGCUAAUUCCCUAGCUGCUCUGGCCUCAAUCGUGACUCUUCCAAAUCAGACCCAAGUUAUUGUCUGUCAAGAAUGGGUAGUACCGCCGUCAGAUAAGGAUGUAGAAAACAAGGUUGAAUACCUCAUUGCCGUGUCUGAAGCUGUAAAAGAAGAUUGGUGACAACCUAUCAUUGAUUACUUAUGUUAUGGGAUACUUCUAAAAGAUCCAAAAAGAAUGACUGACUUUCGUCGUCUUGCACCUCACUUUCUUUACGACAAAGAAACACUAUAUAGAAGAUCAUUUGAAGGAGUACUCUUACGGUGUUUGGGAGAGGAAGAAGCAAUUCAAGCUUUGUAAGAAGCACACGCGGGAGUUUGUGGAUCAUAUCAGUAUGGACCGAAGCUCCAUUAUCACAUUAAAAGGAUGAGAUAUUAUUGGCCAACGAUGAUGAAAUAUUGCUUGGACUAUGCUAGAAGAUGCAAAGCUUUCCAAUUCCAUGCAAACUUCAUACAUCAACCCUCAGAAGUACUACAUCCAACUGUAGCGUCUUGGUCAUUCAAUUCUUGGGGAAUAGAUGUUGUUGGUCCACUACCAAAGUCUUCUGGUGGACACUUAUACAUCUUGGCCGCAACAGAUUACUUCUCGAAGUGGGCCAAAGUUGUUGCUCUUAAGGAAGUAAAGAAAGAAAAUGUUGCAAACUUCAUCCGAAUAAAUAUCAUCUACCGCUUUGGAAUCCCUCAAUAUAUAAUAACUGAUAAUGGCAAGCCGUUUGAUAAUAAACUGAUGAAUAAAAUUUGUGAUCUCUUUGGUUUCAAGAAGGGCAAGUCUUCUACGUACCAUGCUACUGCCAAUGGUCUAGCUGAAGCGUUCAAUAAGACUUUGUGCAACUUAUUGAAGAAAGUUGUCUCCAAAUCCAAACGAGACUUUCAUGAGCGAAUGGAAAAAGCUUUGUAGGCGUAUAGGAAAACUUACCGUAGACCGACGCAAGCAACCCCAUACUCACUUGCUUUUGGAGUUGAAGCAGUCCUGCCACCAUACUCACUUGCUUUUGGAGUUGAAGCAGUCCUGCCACUUGAGCGUCAAAUACCUUUUUUAAGACUAGCUAUUCAAGAAGGCUCACCGAUGAAGAAAAUGCUAAGUUGCAUCUUGCGGAGUUAGAAGCUCUUGAAGAAAAGAGGUUGGAGGCUCAACAAAAUCUUGAAUGCUAUCAAGCCCAGCUAUCUCGUUCUUUCAACAAAAGGGUUCGCUUUAGGUGAUUCCAAGUUGGAGAUCAAGUCCUUAUAGUAAGAAGGCCCAUUAUCACUUCUCAUAAGUCUGGGGGCAAAUUCACUUCUAAGUGGGAUGGACCAUAUGUCGUACAAGAGGCAUAUUGAAGUGGUACUUACAAGCUUGUCGAUGCAGAUGGUAUGAGGGUUGGCCCCAUCGAUGCCAAGUUCUUAAAGAAGUACUAUCCUUGAAGGAAGAUGACACUCCUUAAGGCACGAGUAUAAACUGCAUGUACACUCAUUAAGGCACGAGUAUAAACUGUAUGUACACUCCUUAAGCCAUGAGUAUAAACUGUAUGUCCACUCCUGGCCCGCAAGAGUAUAAACUAUGUACGGUUCACAAAAAAUGAAAGUCCGUUAGGUUGAAAACCUCAAAAGAGGUGUCCUAGGCAAACGUUAGGAAAAAAGGAAAAAAAACUCUCACCCAGAACUAUGUUGUGACUUGAUCCUCUUUACUGAGGUACGUAGGUGCUUGGAAUUUCAUUCUGAGUUCAGUUGCAUGAGUGUCAAAAAAUAAGUAUUUUCCUGCAGUAUCUACCAUAUGGAUACCAAGUAUGAAACUAUUCUAAUUAAAUUUUGAACUUACUCUAAAUAUUUGUGACUCAAUGGGGGCAACCCGUCGAAAAGAAAGGGAGUUCUUUCAAAGGGAUUUGGAAUGCCAAAGUUCUUCAAGUCUAACUAAAAGGAUCUCAAAAGUUCCAUGCCUUAAGGUGGACAAAAUUUGUCCCUUUACACCUUCAGCUGGCCUCUCACGGGUUUAUCCUUAAAAGGAUAUAAAAAUUUUCAUGCCUUAAGGUGGACAAGAUUUGUCCCUUUGCACCUUAAGCUGGCCUCUCGCGGGUUUAUUCUUAAAAGGAUCUUAAAAUUUUCAUGCCUUAAGGUGGAAAAAAUUUGUCCCUUUGCACCUUAAGCUGGCCUCUUCUGUGUUUAUCCUUAAAAGGAUAUAAAAUUUCCAUGCCUUAAGGUGGACAAGUUUUGUCCCAUUGAACCUUAAGCUAGCCUCUUACGUGUUUAUCCUUAAAAGGUUAUAAAAAUUUCUAUGCCUUAAGGUGGACAAGAUUUUUCCCUUUGCACCUUAAGCUAGUCUCUCCCGGGUUUAUCCUUCAAAGGAUAUCAAAAUUUUCGUGCCUUAAAGUGGACAAAAUUUGUCCCUUUGCACCUUAAGCUAGCCUCUUACGUGUUUAUCCUUAAAAGGAUAUAAAAAAUUUCCAUGCCUUAAGGUGGAAAAGAUUUGUCCCGUUGCACAUUAAGCUGGCAUUUUGAUGGAUUUGUUAUGUAAAGGGACCGUCUUGAAGUCAAAUUGGUCGGUCUUAGAGUGUACGGAGGCAAAUUUAAACUCCCGCACCCUAAGCCGAUUGUUGUAAAUUCAGCAUCUUGAAGUCAAAUUGGUCGGUCUUAGAUUGUACAGAGGCGAAGUUAAACUCUCACACCCUAAGCCAAUUAUUGCAAAGUCUGCAUCUUGAAGUCAAAUUGGUCGGUCUUAGAGUAUACGGAGGUGAAGUUAAACUCUCGCACGCUAAUCCGAUUGUUGCAAAGUCAGCAUCUUGAAGUCAAAUUGGUCGGUCUUAGAGUGUAUGGAGGUGAAGUUAAACCCUCGCACCCUAAGCCGAUUGUUGCAAAGUCAGAAUCUUGAAGUCAAAUUGGUCGGUAUUAGAGUGUAUGUAGGCAAAGUUAAACUCUCGCACCCUAAGCCGAUUAUUGCAUAGCCAUCAUCUUGGAGUAAAAAUUGGUCGGUCUUAGAGUGUACGGAGGUGUGGCUAAACUCUCGCACCCUAAGUCGAUUGUUGCAUAUUGCUAUUUGUUUCAACCCUGCAAAAAGAAAAACGGGAAAACAAGAAAGAAAGUAAAAACACAAAUAGAAAGGAUGUUACCUGUCAGAGUGUAGCAAUCUUAAAAGUUGUAUAUCACCAACUUGGAUCUUGAAGUCAAAUUGGUCGGUCUUAGAGUGUACGGAGGCAAAGUUAAACUCUCGCACCCUAAGCCGAUUGUUGCAAAAUCAGCAUCUUGAAGACAAAUUGGUUGGUCUUAGAGUGUACAGAGGCGAAGUUAAAAUCUCGCACCCUAAGCCGAUUAUUGCAAAUUCAGCAUCUUGAAGUCAAAUUGGUCGGUCUUAGAGUGUACAGAGGCGAAGUUAAACUCUCGCACCCUAAGCCGAUUGUUGCAUAGUCACCAUUUUGAAGUCAAAUUGGUCGGUCUUAAGGUGUACGGAGGCGAAGUUAAACUCUCGCACCUUAAUCCAAUUGUUACAUAUUUUUUUCAACCCUACAAAAGAAAAAAAAAAGAGGAAACAAGAAAGAAAGCAAAAACACAAAUAGAAAGGAUGUUACCUAUCAAAGCGUUGUGAUCUUAAAAGUUAUUUAUCACCAACUUGGAUUGAGUCAAGAUGCCUUUAUAAGAAUAAAUCCCUCAAAAUAUAGUUUGAGGCAAUCAAAACGCCCUUUGGUGGUGAUGGUGUCACAUCAAGAAAUAAAUUAUUUGGUGAGGAAAUGCAAAUCUGGAAUCCUCUGACGGACAGCAUAUAAGAUCAACUUUGAAAAAUUAUCUAGAACAAUCAAAAUAGUAUUAAAAUCCAAAUUUUGGAUAUUUUAUACAUGCAUGUUUACGGAAUCUAUAGGAUCAAUCGGAUCAUAAUUUUGGUACUCAAACAUUGAGAUAUAAUUUUUUGGGUGAUUUCGCGUAAAUCUGAAAUUGUUGAUGCAUCAAAACUCAAUAUUGAUUUCAGGAUAACACCUGAAAAUAUCUCAAUUGUAUUAAAUUAUAAAUUUUGGAUAUGUUAUAGAUAUUUGUGUCUAGUUUCACAAGAAUCAAGUGUAUUGUAAUUUUAUCCUUCCUACUUCAAGAUAUGAAAGUUUUAGUAAAGAUGCACAGAUCUGAAAUUUUCAGCAUGAUAAAAUUCAUGGCUAAAUUCAAAAAAAUUAUCGAGAAUUAUAUUGAAGGAAUUUGAAGAUGAAUUUUGGAUAUGUUAUAUAUCUCGAAGUUUAUUUUCUUUAAUAUCAAACGUUUCAUAAUUCUGAUAUUCCUACAAUUAGAUAUGAAUUUUCCACCACUAACAUAUUGUGCUGAAAAAAAGGGACAAAAAUAAGAGAAAAGUAGGAGGGAAAGAAAUUACCUCAAUAUUGUUGAUGGCUUGAAAACCCCAAAAUUGAUAUUGAAAAAUGGAUAAACUACCUCCUUUUAUAGAGUUGUAGGAUGGAUGUUUUCUUCUCCAAUAUAAAUUCGGAUUGGAAUAACUUCCAUCUCAAAUUCAAAUUGGAGAUUGUUUCUUUCUCCAAUAUAAAUUUAGAUUGGGAUAGCUUAUAUCUCCAAAUUCAAAUUGGAGAUUGUUUCCUUUUUCCAUACAAAUUCAAAUUGGAGGUUAUUUCCUUCUCCCAUACAAAUUCAAAUUGGAGGUUGAUUUUCUUCUCCCAUACAAAGUCAAAUUGGAGGUUGUUUCUUUCUCCAAUCUAAGUUUAAAUCAGAAGAGUUUUAUUCCUGUUUAAGGAAGGCAAUGAAAAAGUCUUCUAAAACUGUUUUAAAUUGGAUAUCAUACCUCACCAAUGGGUCUAAAGUAUAGAGAUUCAUGAAAAAAAAUAAGAGAGCUUUGAGAGACAAUGUCAAUAUGGUUCGACUUUAAAGUUUUUGAAUGAGGAGUUCUUAUGUAUGAAAAAUCGUUGAAGAGCGAAGGAAAUAUGUUUAAAUAAUCAUAAUUCAAGGCUAGUCUCUAAAAUAUUAAAUGUCUCGACAAGUCUUGAAGUAGGGGUCAUUUGUGGGGGAUGCAAUUUUAAUAAAUUUAAAUCCAUACAAAAUUCGGAUUAUAUUAAAUUCAAAGUAUAUUAUUCCCAAAUAAAUAUUGUGGAUUAAUAUAAUUGAAUUAAUUAUUUAAGUCCAAAUAGGUAUGGAUUUAAAUAAGGCCCAAUAUUUAUUGGGUUAGUCCAUUAAUUUGGGUUACAAGUGAUGAGCCCACUUUACUAAGCCCAAGAUAUUGUCAUAUUCUAGAGGCCCAAAUAAGCACCACGUAUCAAAUGACGUGGCAUGCCAAGUCAAGUGAAGGAGCAAAUAGAAUCGUGCCACAUGUUAAACUGAUGCAGCAGGCCCAUGAAAUAAAAGCCCAUAAAAGGCGCCACAUCACUUAAAUCUGAUUGGUCAAAGGAAGUCCAUAUUCAUCAUGAAUCUUCCUUUCCUAAUACUAUAAAUAGGGGCCUAAUAAUUUAGAAAAAGAACCCCCAAAACUCUAAUAAGUAGCAAGAGAAAGCUCGUAGAUCAAACACCAUAUUUUCUCUAAAAAUCUCAAGCAUUCAAAUCAAGUUCAUCAAGAUUCAAAAUCAAGACCGCAAUAUUCAAGAACAAGCUCAAAAGCCCUUGAAUUCAAGCACAAGUCAAGAUCAAGUCCCUCAAAGAAUUCAAAUCAAGUUCAAAUUCAAGAUCAAGCUUUAAGCCCUUGAAUUUAUAUUUGAAAAGGCGAAUCAGAGGAUUCAUAGAGAUUGUAACACUCACAUAUUGAAAUCAAUAAAUUGAUUGUUGCAACAUAUUUUCUUGUCUCGAUUAUUUAUUUUCAGCCUCAAAAUUUUAUUGUCCAACAAAUUUUGGCCAAAUCUGCCCUUCAUCUCUUCUCCAUAAAUCAAACAUGCAAAUCUGUAGCCGUAGGAUCGUAAAGAUGGAAGUAGUACUUCAAGACUCGUCUUUGAGUUUCAUCAAGUCUACACUUCGACAAGCCUUGAAGCAGGGGGCAUUUAUAGACAUUGAAAUUUUGUGGACUCUACAAAAAGAGUUCAAUUUUGAUUAGAGUUCUUGGGGGCUACUUUACCCUAAAUCUAGCUUGAUUGCUACUCAACCUAAACCCUAAAUUAUGCCUAUAUAAAUGGGGCAAAUAUCCAUUUAAAGAGGCAUCUCCAGUAUCCCACAAAUUCAAGGGAUUCACAAAUAGAUCAAAGAUCUGAAAAGUUUCAAUAAAUUCAUGGGAUAUUCAUAAAGAUCAAAACUCUCUCUUCUUGAUAAUCAAAUACAUCAGGAAGACAAAUCCUCCUUUCAUGGAGAUCAAAUCCAAAUGUUUUUACGUUUGAGAAAUAUGUCACUAACGGCCAUCGAAUUACGGAGAAAUUCAUAUCCAAAUCUUCAUACAUUCGAGAAACAUGCUAUUGACGGCCCUCGAAUUACGGAGAAAAUCAAGAGAGAAGAAUCAAGGGAGGAACGAAUUUGUACCCCCAUCGUUUAUCAAUAAAACUGUUGUUUCUUCAUAUUUUUAUUUGUGGUUGAAUUUUAUUUUCCAUGAAUUAAAUUAUAUUGGAAACACCAAUCAACAAAGAAUUUCACCAAAUCAAUUUUAAAUAUCCUACAUUAAAAAAAAGUAACCAAUCAACAAAGCAUUUCACCGGAUCACCCAUCGAGCUUUAGGCAAAAUAUUUUUUGAAGCAAGUAACGUUGGGUGUAUUCAUUAGCAGAAACACCAGACAAAUGACCGGAAAUAAUUAAUUUCUCUUAACUAUCAUAGCUUUUUUGUAACUUCUUUUGCUUAAGUUCUAAUAUACUAAAAUUCAGAUGUAUUCUUUGAAUCCUUCAAUUCUUUAGCUAAAGAUCCCAGUAUGUUUAUAAUCUUAUUUAAUAGUGUCACAAUAAUUCUUAAAUAGAUAUGAAAAAAAAAUGAGUUUUGACAACUUAAUCAGCAAUGAAAAAAUUAUUAAUUUGAUAGAACAUAUUAUUCAUCGACGAAAAGCCACAUUCUUUUGCAUGCUAUGAUUUCUUUUCCUAAAUCCUCAACUUGAUUCUCUCAUUGUUUUAAGGAAUGGGGGAGAAAAUAUGAGUGAAGGAAUGCUAAGGGAGAAAGGAAGAAAAUCCAAGAAUGUUUGAGAAACUGAAAGAACAGAUUUAAAAGACAAAAUGUUAGAGUACGCGUCCUACUAAUUGCCUAUAUAUAGAACAGGUAAGUAAACGUGGUUCACAGAAGUAAAACUGAACACAGUAUUUUUACGUGGAAAACACCCUGCUCAAGAAAGGUGUAAAAAACCGCGACCUGUACCUCUACAGGAUUUAACCCACAACUUCACUAAAUUACUUGAGCCUCAAUAAUCAAUAAAAUUACAAGACUUCUUGUAACCUAGGAAUUAAAACUUCUAACUCCUAUCACUACAAAAACACUAAUCUUCCCAAGAUAAGUGUUCCCAAGUGUUUGAGUUUCCAAACUUGAAGACAACAACUCCUAACUCAGUUUAUAGAUUACUAAGACUAGAAUCAAUAACUCAUUACAAUACAAGAACCUAAUGACUACACUGGUUAUGACCUGCUAAGUAAGAGACUAGGUUCUUCUUCAAGUAUAUGAACUGAUGUGCUGAUUGUUGAUUAACUUUUUAGUGCUUGAGUGAGUAUCAGGCUUUGUGUCACGUUUGUUGUAUUUAAUCCAACCUAUGAUAGAGUCCUUUUUCAUAUCUAAUUUGUUCUCCAGUAGAACUCUAUCAGUUAACUCUUUUCCUUUUGUUGCCGCCUCACUUGUCCUAGAUUUAAUAGGACUCUUUUUCUUCAAAUCCUCUCCUUGCUGGACUACUUGAUCAACUAGACUUCUUCAAGACUCCUUGUUUGACUCAGCUUCUGAUGUGAUUUAUGUUAGCUAUGCUUGUCUUGUACGCAGAAUCAUAUCAUUCAGACUCCUGCGCCAGCAAGAGUAUUUCACUUGAAUGGACCAACUUCUUCAAAUUGUUUCAUUCUCAUGUCUAUCAUCAAAACUCCUUCAUGCCUUAACACAAAAAUUAUCUUUACUUCUGAUUUAAAUUGUGGAGAGUUAAAACAUGUCCUACUUUUUUUGUAAAAUGUACAGCAAAUUAAGUUGUUUUCAUCCUAGGCUCACUCUUAAAUAUAGUAGAAUAUAUAUAUAUAUAUAUAUAUAUAUAUAUAUAUAGAGAGAGAGAGAGAGAGAGAGAAAGAGAGAGAAACAACAACAACAAACUUAGUGUAUUCCCACAUAGUGAGGUCUGGGGAGGGUAAGAUGUACGCAGUUUAUACCACUACCUCUGAAGAAGUAGCAAGGCUAUUUUCGAUAAACCUCCAGCUCAGUGUGGUAAAUGUAUUUAAGAAAAUUAUAUUGUGUAUAUGUUUGUCUGUGUGUGUGUAUGAAAUAAAAAUUAAUUAUUAAUUUUUAUGAAAGCAUGAAUGGAUUGCAGAGAAGGUGGUAAACACAUGCAUGAAGAAAUCCACACGAAUUGAUGAAGGAAAGAUAUUUAUAUACCUAAGUCAAAAUAAGAAAAUAAAGAAAGAAAUUCAAAGCCUUAGGGUUUUUUCCGGUAGAGUGUAUAAGAUAAUAUCGAAUAAGGUGACUUAGUAAUGUUGAGAUUAGUAGAGCUAGAUUAGUAAUAUUGGGAUUUGUAAUGCUGGAAUUACUUUUUAUGCGGUAUUUGGUUUGAUGUAUUGAAACCAGUAUAUAUUGUUAUAUUUUAAAAAUAAUAUUAUUUGUUUACAAAAAAUACCCUUGACAUACUAUAACUUUAUGUAGUUUCUUUGUAAAGUUUUUUUAUUAUUUUUUAAAAAUAAAAAAAUCAACAAUAUAACUAAUAACUUACUUUGGAAUUUUAAGAUUUAAUCAUUCACUUGCAGGAAAAAAAAAUUGUUAUCUUUUCUUUAUUUACUAAUCAUUUGUUUGUUGUUCCCACUUUAUGGUGUUCUUAAGUUGGAGGGAGGUACGUGUAACUUUUGAAUGAGAUAGUAGAAUCAUUAUUAACAUAAAAUUGUGUUACGUAAGUGUUAAAGCUAAGCAAAAAUAUUAUUUUUAUUUGUGAUAUAUCCUAUUUACAAAAUUAAAGCUAGUAUCCAAUCAUGCAAUUUAUUUUUGAAUUUUGACCAAUAAGUAUUUUUUAAGUUAUUGGUGUAGUUUUUUAUAUGACUAAAAUUAUUUGGAGGGAUAUUAUCAUCUUGGUAAAUUGUAACGAAAUAACUCGAAUAAAUUGAAAAAGAUUUAGAAAAUAUUUAAAGGAAUUCGAGGGCAUUUUUGUCUUUACUCAUGUUUAUCCAUGUAUUGUAAUCUAUGGAUUACUAAUCCCACCAAAUUAAGGGGUUGUUUGGUAGAGUGUAUAAGAAUAAUGAAAAAUAUGGUGUAUUAGUAAUACUUGUAUUAGCAAUGCUUGUGUUAGUUAUACUUGCAUUAGUUAUGCUUGUAUUUUUCUUAUGCAGUGUUUGGUUCGAUGUAUUAAAAAUAACAUGAAUUACAUAAUUUCUAAUUUUUUUAUAUUUUUUUACAUAAUACCCUCAAUAUAUCUGUUGGAAAGGAUGCGAAAUUUUUUUUAAGGAUAAUAAUGUCUUUAAGCAUGUUAAUACAUGCAUUAGUUCCAUUGCAUUACUAAUGUCAUGGAUUUUGAGGUAUUAGUAAUACACAUCUCAUAUAGGGUAAAAAUAUAUACCAAAUAAGGUACUAUUAAUACACAUUAAACUAAUGCAUGCAUUAACUUUCCAAUACACUCCACCAAACGACCCCUAGUGUAUUAGUUAUACACCCUAUAAUACCAUGUAUAAUGUAUAACCAAUCCAUGAAUUAGUUAUAUAUUGCUCCAAAUUUUCUAUCAAACAAUAUAUUAAAUAAUACCAUACUUUAAUAUAUGAAUUAUCAAAUUAAUAAACUCUACCAAACAGCUCCUUAGUGGAUUCCUUUCUAAUCAUGACUAUAAGUUUAGAGUUUUAAAAUUUGAAAGGUAGCUAAACUCUCAGGCCAUCCAGAAGAGGGAGAGUUUCAAGUAUUUGGGGUCUAUAAUUCAGGGUAAUGGUGAGAUUGACGAUGAUGUCACGCAUCGUAUUGGGGCAGAGUGGUUGAAGCGGAGGCUCACUUCGGAAGUCCUUUGUGAUAAGAAGGUUCUCCCAAAGCUUAAAGGUAAGUUCUACAGAGUGGUAGUCUGGACGGUCAUGUUGUAUGGAGCGGAGAGUUGGCCAGUUAAGAACUCCCAUAUCCAAAAAGUGAAGGUGACAGAGAUGCAAAUAUUGCGAUGGAUGUGUGGACAUACCAAGAAAGAUAAGGUGAGGAAUGAGAUUAUUCAGGAGAAGGUAGGAGUUGCCUCGGUAGAAGAUAAGUUGCUAGAAGUGAGGCUACGUUGGUUCGGGCAUGUGAUGAAGAGGUGUCCUGAUACUCCAAUGCGGACGUGUGAGACUCUGGCUAGGGAUGGUUUUAGGCGGGUUAGAGGUAGACCAAAGAAAUAUUGGAGGGAGGUGAUUAAGUAUGAUAUGGAGCAAUUACAGCUUACAGAGGACAUGACCCUUGAUAGGAAGGUGUGGAGGACGCGGAUUAGGGUAGAGGGUUAGGGGUGGUAGCGUGGAGGUAGUAAUAGGGGAGUGCUCAUUCGGGUCUGGAGUUUCUAGUUCGUAGUGUUGUGGCUGCAGUUUGGGGCUAGUAGUGUUGACUUUUUUGCAUCCCGUACUAGUUUAUUACGCACUUAUCUUUUGUGUUUGUUAUACGAUUAGUUUGUUUUAUGUACCAUACUAGUUUAUAUGUGCCUACUUUUUGUAUUUGUUAUACUAUUAUUGGUCCUAAGCCGGGGGAAUAUCGAAAACAGUCUCUCUACUUCUCUUGAGGUAAUGGUAUGGUCUGCGUACACUCUACCCUCCCCAGACCCCACUGGGUAUGUUGUUGUUGUUGUUGUUGUUGUCUAUUUAUGGCUAGCAGGGCUUUUAAUUAAAGGCAGAGAGUUUCUCAUUUGUUCAUCUCACAAUGGAUGGCAUUAUUUUUUUAUCUUCCAUAAGAAAAAUCCUACAAAUCUAAUUUUUCUUCUUCUUCUUUUUUUAUGUAUAGGAUAAAUAUUCAUUUACUCAUCUAUAUCUCAAAUAUUCUAAACAACUCCAUACUUAUUUAUCUUUCAACUUCUAUUUUUUUCUCUCUCUUUUUUAAUUUACUUUAAAAAAAAUUUGUAGUUUUUCUCAACUCUUAUUUUUUUUUCUUUUUACUUUAAAAAAAAUUUGUAGUUUUUCUCAACUCUUACUUUAUUUUCUUUUUCUCUUAUGACCUUCUUUUUUUUUCCUUUUUUCCUUCUUUUUAUUUUAUUUUGAUUUUUUUCUUUUCUCUAUUUUUUUUUUUAAAUUCACAACCCUUACUUUUUCUCUUUUUCUCCUAUCAACUUCUAUUUUUUAAAAGAAAAAAAUCUCCUUUUUAAUUUUUCUUUGGUUUAUUUUUUUUUCUUUUCUAAUUUUCCUAUCCUUUAUUUUUGUUUUGUCUCUUUUUUUUUUUUCUCAAUCUUUAUUUUUUAUUUCUUUCUCCUCUCAACUUCUAUAUUUUCUUUUUCUCUUUUUUAUUUUCUUUGAUUUUUAUUUUUUAUUUUUAGAUAUUUUUCCUUAUUUUUUUCUUUUUUUGCAACUUUUAUUAUUUUUCUUUUCUUCAAUUCCUUCCAACGACAAGGUAUGCCCCAUGGACAAGAGUUAGCACUAUAAGAUUGUAUCUUAAUUUAUGAUAUAUUUUAUAAAUGACUUUGAAAUAACAAGUUACAUUUAAUGAACAAGAACUGGCACUACCGCAUUGUGUUUUGAUUUAUGAGAUGUUCUAUAACUAUUAUCUUAGAGGUAAGAAUUAACCCAAAGACUUUCAAGCAACAAGUUAUGCCCCACGGGCAAGAGUUGACACUAUCAAAUUAUGUCUUGAUUUAUGAGAUGUUCUACGAUUCUUACCUUAGAGGCACUACUUAUCCCAAGGAUUUUCAAAUAAUAAGCUACAUACAUUGGAAAAGAGUCAACACUACCGCAUUGUGUAUUUUACUAAUGGAAUGCUUAUAGCUCUUGUCUUAAAGGCAAGACUUAGCCCAAGGACCAUCAAACAACAAGUUAUGCCCCAUGGGAAAGAGUUAACACUACCACACUAUGUAUUUAUUGAGAUGCUCUAUAACUCUUUCCUUAAAGGCAAGAAUUAGUCCAAGGGCUUUUCAAGCAACAAGUUACGGCUCAUGGGUAAAAGUUGACACCACCACAUUGUGUUUUGAUUUAUGAGAUGUUUUAUAACUCUUGUCUUAAAGGCAAGACUUAGCCCAAUGACUUUUAAAUGACAAGUUACGCCAUGUGGGCAAUAGUUGACAUUACCGCAUUAUGUCUUGAUUUAUGAAAUGAUUUAUAAAUCAAAGAAUUUCAAAAAACAAGUUAUGCCCCGUGGGUAACAGUUGACACUACCAUAUUAUGUCUUAAUUUGUGUGGCGUUCUAUAACUCUUGCGUUAGAGGGAAGGCUUAGUCCAAGGACUUUCAAAAAACAAAUUACGCCUCAUGGGCAAGAGUUGAUGCUACCACACUGUGUCUUGAUUUAUGAGAUGUUCUAUAACUCUUGCCUUAGAGGCAAGACUUAACCCAUAAGUUACGCGCCAUGAGCUUGAGUUGACACAACCACAUUGUAUCUUGAUUUAUGAGAUGCUCUAUUAGCUUGCCUCUAAGACAAGACAUAUCCCAUGAACCUCCCAAAAGAAUGAGUUACGCCCAAUGAGCAAGUGUUGACACUACCAAAUUGUGUCUUGAUUUAUGAGAUAUUCUAUAACUCUUGCCUUAAAGGCAAGACUUAUCCUAAAAGACUUCCAAAUAACAAGUCAUGCCCUUAAAUUUACUUCGAUGUCAAAACAAAAAGAAGAUCCUUUUGCGGAUUAUCCAACUUUCUAGUUAGCAAAAUAAAAUAGAAGUUGAGAAAAAGAAAAAGUAGAGAAAAGAAAAAAAAAGACUGAGCAAAAAAGAAACAAAAGAGAAGAAAAAAAUAAAGGUUAAGAAAAACGAUGAGAAUGGAAAAGCCCCAAAAAAAUAAAAUAAAGAUUGAGAAAAUUGAAAAUGAGAAGAAAAAAAUAAAAAUAAAGUUUGAGAAACAGAAAAAAAAGGAGAAAUGAUAGCAACAAAAAGUAAAAGAAAAAUAAAGGUUGAUACAAAUGACUAAAAAAAAGUAAAAUAAAGAAAUAGAUAAUAUUUGACAAAAAAUAAAAAAAGAUAAAAAAUUAAAGGUUGAGACAAAUGAAUUAAAACAAAAAAAAAAGAAAAUAAAAAACAAAAAAGUAGGAAAAAAUAAAAAAGAAGAAGAAACAAAAAUAGAAGUUGAGAGACAAAUGAGCAUGAAAAGUUUGAAGUGUAGAUGGAUAAAAAUGUACUUGUUCCGUAUAUAAAAAAAAAAAAAGACUAGUGUUUAAAGACUUUUCUUAAUAGGGACAAAAAAAAUAAAGGGAUAAUUACAUAUCUUAGCAAAUUCAUAGUCUCACUCAUUUAUUUUCUCUCUUUCUAUAUUUUCUAUCACUUUCCUUUUUUUCAAGUUAUUUUCUUCAUUUUUUCUUUUCCUUCUCUUGUUUUCUCAUUCUUUUUUUCUCAUUUUUCUUCCUUUUUUUCUUCUUCAUUUUUUAUUUUUUUUCUUUUCAUUUUUGCUCCUUUUUUCUGUAUGUUUUUCUCUUAUUUUUUGUUGUUGUUGUAGUAUUUUAUAUUUUAUAUUUUUUAUAUCAUACUAUAUAUUUUAAAUAAAUUUAUUAUUUGUAGUUGAAUAGCUUAAUCUUGAAUAUGUACAAUUUAUCAUUUGUAUUUGUAUACAAAAAAGUAUAUUAAUUAAUUAUAUUUUGUUUGGGUCUUAAAUAUAUAAAUAUGCAAUGUGUCAUUCAAUGCAAAUGUAUCGUUAGUAUUUGUAUUUCAAAUUUAUCAUUUGUAUUUGUAUAUAAGCAAGUAUCAUUUUGUAUGCAUAUGGUUCAAGUUGUAUAACAUGUAUCAUUUGAUGCAAAUAUAACAUUUGUAUAAUUUAUCGUUUUAUAAAUACAAGUAUUCGUAGAAAGAAAAAUAAAAUUCUUUUAAAAUUAUUUAAAAACACAUAUGAUAUUGUCAACUACAAAUUCAAAUACAAAUAAAUGAAUUAAAAAUAAAAAUAUAAUAUGCGGUCAACUUAUAAAUAUAAUAAAAAAUAGUUCUUUCAAAAUACAAGUGUAUCGAUAAAAAUAAUGCACAAAUAACAAAUAAAAUAAAACCACAAAAUAUAAAUAUAAUGUACAGUCAAUUAUAAAAUACAAAUACAAAAUAAUUCUUUAAAAUACAAAUGUAAAUUGUAUAAAAUAUAAAUGAUGGUGCAAACUAGUAAACAAAAAUACAAGUGUGAACUAUAAAAUGCAAAUAUAAAUGUGAACUAUAACAUACAAAAACAAAUGCGAACUAUAAAAUACAAAUAAAAAUGCGAACUAUAACAUACAAAUAUAAGUGCGAACUAUAAAAUAUAAAUACAAAUGAGAACUAUAACAUACAAAUACAAGUGUGAACUAUAAAAUACAAAUGCAAUUGCGAACUAUAAUAUAAAAAUACAAGUGUGAAUACAAAUACAAAUGCGAACUAUGAUAUAUAUAUAUAUAUAUAUAUAUACAAAACAAGCGUAAACUAUAAAAUGCAAAAUACAAAUAUAAUUGUAUCAAUGAAUACAAAUAUAAAUAAUGAUAUGAAUAUAAAUACGAUAAAUAAUUAUGGUAUUUUUAUUAUUAUUCGUGACUUGUACUCGAGUAGCCAUAUUUUUUUAAAAUACAAAAAAUAUAAGAUAGAAAAAAAAGGUAGAAAAAAGAAAAUCAAAAAGAAAAAAAGAACCAAAAAAAAAAAAGCAAAAUAGAAGAUAGAGAUAGAAAAAAAAAAAGAAAAAGAACCAAAAGAAAGAAACAAAAAGGGGAAAAAAUAUAAAAGAAAAGAACAAAAAACACGAAAAAGAAAAAGAUACAAAAAAUGAAAGAACAAUUAGAAAAACAAAAAAGAAAAAAAAAUAGAAAAAAAAAGUAAGAAAAAUCAAAAAAGAUAAAAGAAUAAAACUUUAAAAAUGACGGUAAAUACAAAUACAAUGUGUGGUUAUGAUGUUUCUGUUGUCAUCCAUGGCUUGUAUUCGAUGUAGUCAUAUUUUUUGAAAAUAAAAAAUAUAUAAAAUAUAAAAUGUGAUUAAUAUAUUUAUGUUUUAUAUGGAUACAAACUAUUGAGUAAAAGCGAAUACAAAGGAUUUGAAUCGAGUACGUCAGCUAUAAAUCUUAAUCUAUAUCUAUAAUCUAUAAUAUAUUAAAAGUACGAAGGCCCUUAGAAAAGUGCUUUGAACUUUUUCCUUCAUUAAAAGUCUUCGCAAUAGAUAAAAUUAUCUUUUUAAUAUUUUUAAAAAAAAAUCAUAUUUAAUCAAAUUAAGGACUCCUAAAAACAUACAAAUAGAAAUUAGACACUCCUAAAAUAUAUGGGAUAAAAAAUAAGGACUUUUAAAAUAUAUGAAAAGAAAUAACCAGUAGGAUAUAUAUAUAUGGAAUUCUAAUAAAAUAAAUAUAUUAAAUUUUGAUUAUUAAAUUUUUUUAAAAGCCAGAUAAUCCAAAAUAGAGAUUCGGAUUCUCUUUUUAUUAUUGUAGUUCUUAGUUGUUUUCUUAAAAUAUUUUUAUCCGUGCCAAAUUUUUAUAAGUAGAGAUUCCACUUCCAUAAAAAUGCUUUUAUUUUUGUUCGUUAUGUGAUUUAUGUAAUGUUUUUUUCUAAAUAGGAGUUUAUUUGUCUUUUUCUUUAAAAAAAUUUCGUGUUUUAGCUUUUUUUUUUUAGGUGUUGAAAUCUAUAAUAUUUACUUUUUAAAUUCCUUUUUUAUUUAGACAAUAUUUACUUUUUAAAUUUCUUUUUGGUUUAGGGUCUCUGAUAUAUAUAAAAAAUAUUAUUGCACAAUCUCAUUCAUGAACUUUAUCAUUAAUGUUUCUUUUGUAUUUCUAGGUUUUCUUUCUUUAUGAAUUUUUCUUUUAUAAUAGAUCUUAAUGUUUGUCUUAUUACUUUCUCUUAUGUUUUCCGCCAUAAAUAUAUCAUUCAUAUUCUUUAUCAAAAUUCCAGGUUCUUGAAGUGAAUUUGUUCAGAGGUAUGUUUUCUAAAAGUUUAGACUGAUUUUGAAGUUUACAAUAAUAAAUGAUGUAUUUUUGAUAAAUAAUUAUAAAUUGAGAAAUUUCUUUGUGAGUUUUGUUUAUAGUAUUCCAUAUACAAUUAGUGAUUUGAAAUUGAAUUAUUCACAAUUUUGGACAGAUUAUUUAGAUUGUCCCAUUUUGUCACGAGAAAUUGGUUGUGUACUAUUGCUUUUCAGUCACUUCAUGUUUGGCCUUACUCUAUCUCAACUAAAGGAGUUGUACUAUUUUGAAACUCUAUAAGGCAUGAAACCUAAAAAAACUCUCAAAAGAAAGAAUAUUUGUUAGCUCAAUCAGUGGUCGGUGUAAAAGAAAUUACACAAAAAAUAUUUUCUCAUAUACAUACAUACUUUAGCACACAAAUAUCUUUUUUUAGCAUACGAAAGAGAUACACAAAUCCAAUUGUUUAUUUUACCUUUUUUUUAGUUCAUUUCAAUAUCCAAUUGUUUAUUUUACUUUUUUUUUUUAGUUCAUUUCAAUAUCUUUUUUUAAAAUACUCUAUUUCUAAACUUUCAUACAGUACAUUUAAAACUACAAGAUUAAAGUAUAUUUUAAUAUAUUUCACAUGUCUGUAAUAAUUAAAAGAGACAUUAGAAAAUGUAUGAUAAAUUAUCAUGUUCUUCACAUUUUUUUCUUAAAAUAAAUGCUGAUUUUUAAAAUUUUUAAAUUAAUAAUAUAACGUACACACAAUAAUUUAAUCUUUUGAUAUUCAUUUAUUUUUAAUUAACUAUAUACACGUGCAAAACACGUACACCUAAACUAGUAUUAUAAAGUGUGGCUAUGGAAGGUGAAUUUUGUGCAAAAUUGUUGCUAUUUUUGAAGGGAAGUUUCAAAAAUAGCAAAAGUUUGGCACAAAACCCACCUUUUGAUAGCCACAUUUUACAUAUUUACUAUUUAUAGCCGUUGUAUUCGAUUUACAGUUGUUGUAUUCACUUUACUCAGUGGUCUGUAUUCAUAAAAAACAUAAAUAUACUACAUAUUUAGUCUCACAAAAAACACUACCAUUUUUUCUUUUUUAUUUUUUUAUUUUUUUCUUUUUAGUGUUUUCCCCGGUUUUUUCUUUUCUUUUUUCUAUUUUUUUUGUUUCUUUUUUUUCUCUCUUCUAUCUCUAUUUUCUAUUUCUCUUUCUUAUUUUCUGUUGUUCUUUGAUUUUUUUGUUUUCUUUUUUGUACUUAUAUACUUGUAUGCAUUAGACCAAUAAAUUGUGAUUAUUUCUUCCCUCCCAAUUGGUUCAAGGUCAGGAAUCAACUAUUUCAUCUAAUAAUUUUAAUGUGCAAUAUACGAUUAAUGAAUAUACCAUGAUGCAUAAAAAUGGAUUCCUCAAAUAAAAUAAAGGAUGUAUGUUAGUUUUUCUAACAUAAGGGGGAGAUUAUAAGCGGCUAUGAAACAUGUUAGGAAUUAUCAUCAGAUCCUCAUUCAAAAGAUAGUUCAAGUAAAAUACUGAAAGCAUCUCAUAUCUAAGCUGCAAGUGCUCUUAUUUUGUGUUCUUAAAUGACAAAGUCUACCCAUACAUGAAGAGUGGUAGACCAAUCGGUUCCUUGAAAUAAUCUGUGAAAAAUAAAGAGCAAAUAAUCAUAAUAAGAAGGUAAUGUACUCUUGAAGAGCCUACGACAUAACACUUCAUGAAACCUUAUGAGAGGUUCAGGUACCUGAGAAUAAUGAAGUGAUGAGAUCUCAAAAUGUUAUGUCACAUUGUGAACCGAUACAAAAUGAUAUAUCAUCGAUAAUAUCUUUCAUACAAUAUUGACGCAAUUAAAUAUUACGAGGAUCCGAAUUCUACGUUAUUUAAGCAUGUUGACGAAGAAAUAUUUAUCAAGUAACGUGAAAGGAUACAUCUUGGUAAGUAUAAAACUUAUUUGAUUUGCAGUCCAUAUACUUAAAGAUGUCACUCAUGUAAUGUUGAAUAUUGUCACUUGAAAAAAUUUACAUGAAAAUUUAUUUAAGGAUUCAAAAUGUUUGAAGCAUAUAAAAGUUUCAAGAAAACUUAUUUAUAAUCCUUAUAUUGCAUAAGUUUAUAACUUGAAAAUUAUUAGAACUCUUUGAGAGUAUUCAAAAGCAAUAGAUUAUUGGCUGAAAUGAGAAAUAUUCCAAAUUGGACUAUUAUAAAGUACCAUAUCUUAGUGCAAUUGAUGCACAAAUGUAUCUUGCAAAUACCACAAGGCCCGAUAUAGCUUUUUCAGUUAAUUUGUAAGAAAGGUGUAAUUCUUCUCCUACUAGGAGACAUCGAAAUGGGAUCAAAUACAUAAUUUUAUUUUGUUCUAAAGAUUGCAGUCCCGAUCUUGUUAGAUAUGCAUAUGUUGGGUACUUAUCGGACCCGUAUAAAGCUCGAUCUCAAAUAAGUUAUGUGUUCAUAUGUGAGGAUACUGCUAUAUAUUGAAGAUAUACAAAACAGUCUAUCAUAGCUACCUCAUCGAACAGUGCUGAGAUAAUAGCUAUUCAUGAAGUAAACCGAGAGUGUGUGUGGUUAAGGUCCAUGAUACAUCUCAUUCGCGAAAAAUAUGAUUUGAAAUGUGAUAAAGUACCCAUGACUUUUAUGAAGAUAAUGCAGCAUGCAUAGCAUAACUUAAGGGAGGAUUCAUAAAAGGAGAAUGAACAAAACACACUUCAUCAAAGCUUUUCUGUACAUAUAAUCUCCAAAAGAAUGGUAUUAUUAAUAUACAACAGAUUCGUUCAAGCAACAUGUAGCUGAUUUAUUCACCAAGUCCACUCCAAUUGCAACUUUCAAGAAGAUGGUGCACAAGAUUGGGAUGCAAAGGUUCAAGGAUGUUCUCAUUAGGAGGAGUUAAUACGCGUUGUACUCUUUUUUCCUUAUGAGGUUUUGUCGCAAUGAGUUUUUCUUGUAAGGUUUUUUUAAUGAGGUAACCGAAAUAAGUAUGUUAUAGAUGUGUACUCUUUUUCCUUCACUAGAUUUUUUGUCCACUAGAUUUUUUUCUUGUAAGGUUUUAACAAGAUACAUUAUUUGUCAAUUAGACAUUCAAGGAGGGUGCUAUAAAUAUAUUACCAUAUAUAGUGAAUGUUUAUUUUACCAUAUGUAGUGAAUAUCUAUCUGUAAUCUAUAAUAUAUUAAAAGUGUGAAAACCCUUAGAAAAGUGAUUUGAACUUUUUGCCCUUCAUUAAAAGUCUUCGCAAUAGACAAAAUCAUCUUUUUAUCCUUUUUCAUCAAUUAUUAUAUUAUUAUUUUUAUAAUAUUUUAAGGACUCCUACAAUAUAUAGGAGGGGGUAAUAUAUGGGAAGAAUUUAGAUGUCUAUUUUUGAUAUAUUAGGAAAAUAAAUAUUGAUUAUGGUAGGUUUUAAAGGUAAUUUGUCUUUGACUUGGACAUUAGUUAUGUUUAUUUAAGGUUUAGUUAUAGUUAUUCAUGAUACGUUGUUCUUUUUUUGCUACACACGACAACGAUUAUGUGUAUUCAACCUAUUUCUUAUACUAAUUGUAAUACACAUUGGUAGGCUUUCUAUUAAAUAUCUGAUUUAAUUUGUUUAUGUUUUUUGUUUAUUUGAUUGAAAUUGUUAUUCAAGAGAUCGUUGGCUUGAUCCAUGACACAUAUUUUCACACGCAAGAAACAAAGUUGAUUCGUUUUCAAAACAACAACGGAAGACAAUAACGCUUUUUGUUGUUGUCUUAAUUUGAGCUUUGAAUUAUAUGCAGUAAUAUGCAGUUGGGGAAAUAGACAAAAUUAUCUUUGUUUUGUUGACAUCUGCAUUUUUCUUCUACUUUUUUUUUAUAUUCAGGUUUUCGCUGGUUUUCUAUCAACGAAUGUUUUUUCUUAAAUUUAGAUACCCACUAUGUAUGUUUCUUUCGUCAUGCAACGUCUUUUCUCUAUAGUGAUUUUAUCUUUCCUAAGCACUCUAAUACUUAAUAGAAAAUUAUGUAAUUAUUAAGAUCUAUUUUGAGACUAUGCGAUUGUGUAGGAGGCUUUAUUUAAGGAUACUCUUCUAUCACCAAAAUUUAAAAGCAAGUUCUACAAAAUGGUGAAUUAAAUUGGCUAUAUUGUAUGAAGCGGACAUGGCACAAUUUUCUCUUACUAAUGCCAUGACCUUAGAUAAGAGGUCAUGGAGGACACUGAUUAGCGAGGAAGAUUAGUUAGACAGUAGUGAACCAUAUUUGAUUUUCUUAUGUCUCUAUCUAUGAAUAUUCACUUCAAUAUUUUCAAAGUUUUUUCUCGAAACAAGAUUAUGUUGGGCUUAAUGUUUUGCUUAAACAUUGUUGAAGGACGAAGGAAAAGUUUGAGUAACUUUCUGCCUAAUUCUCGGUCAGCUACUGAUCUCUGAAAAGGUUCAGAAACUGUUUAGGUGGAGCUUUGAGUUUUAUUCAUGAAUUAGAGGUAAUUGUCAGUAUUAGACACGUCAAUUUGUUGAACUUGAGAGGUUUCACUGUCACAUUCUUUUUGCAGGGUCAUCAAAGAAUUACUGUUUGUGAUUGAUGAAAAAUGAGAGUUUAUAUGAUCAUUUAUUUGGGUGGAAAUGCAAAAAUUGAAUUGGCCUAUUAUUCAAAAAAUUGCAAUUGAUAUAGCUAGAAGCUUCACUUGCUUGCAUUAUGGAGCACAACGACUGUCACUCAUAGGGGCAUAAAGUCAAGUAAAUAUACAUUUAGACGAAAAUUUAUGUCUAAGAUUGCGAAUUUUGAAAGAAAAGAAUGCCAAGAAACCAAAUCAACGAAGAAAACUUAUAGUACAUUGGUUGACAAAAAAAAUGAAAGUAAAUUGAAGGUUGAAGGCAUUAUUGAAAAAGUGACAAAUUAAAAGCAGUGUGUUGUAAUAAUGUAACAAAAUUACUUAUUUAACACUUUGCAAGAUGUAAAACUCAAUUACUAAAAUGCAUUGCGAGAAAGCAAAGAGGAAAUUAAAAAUAACAAAUUAAAUGACAUGAUGCGCCUAAUUGUUCUUUGAGGCUACAAUUCGCGUCCUGUAAUCAUGCAAUGAACUGAACUAAGUCACAUGACAAUUAACUGACUCUGAGAAACAAAGAAGUUAUUAAUGAAUAGUGAGUAAUGAUUAGUACAAUUAUAUAUGGUCAAUUAGGUAGGGCUAGCUAGAAAUAUAUUUAAUUUGGAUCCAUCCAAGUGAUGCAUUAGAUGAAUAAUGAAAAUAUUGUGAUGUAGUAUCAUGACUAGAUGUAAUAUAUUGAUUUUCUUUCUAUGGAUUACUAUCUAGAAGAUAGCAGUUACAUUGUAGAUAUAGCCACUCCGGCAAAUAUAUUAUAAUUUAGUCUUUCUAUUCUUAUUUUUAAUUCUUUACGUUUUUCAGAGAUAAUUUGUCUUAAUUCUUUAUAUUGUUGUAUUUUAUUCAUUUUAAAUUAUAUUUAUAAUAUCUUGGUGGAUAUCUAAAUCUAAUUUUAUUAUAAUUAGGCGGUAUAUAUUUCAUUCUUCUAGAUUUUAAAUGUGUUAUUAAUUUUGAUUCAAUACUAGAUAUUAAUGUAAUUAAAUAGGCUAGUUUUUGUGGAUUUUCUUUUGUUUUAUUUAGACUUAUAUAUUCUGAAUAAUUACUAAUUAAUGAUUUUUUUAUUUUUCUAAAAGCUUCUCUAUUUUUAAAUGGUCUUCGCAUAAUUAAUUUAAUAUUUUCGUAGGUAAUUUUUUAAUUUUUUAACUUUAAUUCUAAUUCUAAUUCUAAUAUAUAUCUCUUCCGUACUUUUUAGAUUACUGGGCUCUGAUACCAUUAGGGGGGUGCGCGGAUUUAAUUAAAUAGGUAUAAUAGAUUUGGUACAUAUUUGUAGUGAAUCUAUUUUUAUUUAGUGCGUGGAUGUUAUCUUUUAAUAAUUUACUUUUUUCGUAAGAUAUAUUCAUUAAUUAUUUUAUCCUGUAGUAAUUACAGAGUUACAAAUUCUUGUAUAAUAAUUUAUCCUAUCUGUGCUAUAAUAUAUAUCUAAUUCUAGAUUUUCAAUGUUAUUUAUUAUUUUGUGUUGUUCUUCUCGUAGUGAGUUUUUUAAAUUAUAUAAACUAUCACAUGUACUUUUAUCUAAAUUUUCUAAGGUUUUUUCUAUCCAUAUUAAUUUUUCUUUUAGGUCUUUCAUUAUUUGUCUAAUUCGGUUUCUAUAAUUAAUUUCAUUAUUUAGAUUUUCUUGAUUUUCUCUAGUUUGUCUAAUAUAUUCUAACAUUUUUUAAUCUGAAUAAUAUCCUUCUGGGUAAAUUUCUUCGUAUAACUGUUCUAGAUAAUUUAUAGUUUCAAUUUCGUAGUCUAUUACUUUUUCUAAUAUUAUUUUCUUAAUAUCUAUAAUUUCUAUGUUUUUAAGUAUAUAUAAUAUUAAAACUUUAAGAUAAUCUAAAUGAUCUAUUUUUAAAAUUGUUUUGUAGCUGUUUGUUUUAGUCUUAGUAGUUUUUGCAUAUUUUUAUUAAGAAAUUUUAUAUCUUUGUUUUCCAUGUGUUUAUUUUUAUUUUUUCUAGUAACUGCAAAAGUUUUUGUUUUUAUCUUCUUUUUUUUUUUAUGUAACUUAUCACCUUAAGUAUUUAUAAGAGUCGUUAGGUAUUUGUGGUAUAUAGCUUAUUCUAGACAUAUAAUUUUUACCAAAAGCUUUUUCUAAUAUUAUUUUUCUUAUAUCUGCUACUUUUAUAUUUCUAAGUGCAUACAAAAUAAGUAUCUUGAAUUUAUCUACCAUCACAUCAGAUAUAUUAUCAUUCAUUUUUCAUAAAUUUGCUUUUUUCAAAAUAUUCCCUUCAAUCACGUACACAACAAAAUAUGGUCAUAUUGGCUUACUAUAUACUAGAUUAUUCUUAAAUAAUAUGUUCUUCCGUCACUAUUAACAUGGUAAUCUGGAUACUUUUUCCCUUAAACAGCGCCUCUACUCUGGUUACUCCCCGCCACGGCUUCUUGCCUCAUUGGUUUCACCUUUAGGAUGGCAUAGUCCUUAGGGAUAUUUCUCCGUUUCCUCUUUGUUAAUAAACUUCUUAACAUAUUAUUCUUCGAAUAAUUCUACUAUAAAGUAACUAAUAUGAAUUUAUUUUAUCAUAUCAUGAUUGUUGGGAAUUAUGAAAUUAGCUAUUCAUAAUUAUAAAUAGAUAUACCUGUUCCGGUAGCUUUGAUGUUUCUGAGUUUUGUUGUUCCUGUUGUUCCAUAGCUUUUUCCAUUGGAGUAUAUUUUUCUAAUUAACUGAGUAAAUUUUUUGUUUGUGGAAUGGAGAGAGAGAUUUGUUUCAAAAGAAGGCUU